This 387-nucleotide ribosomal RNA is filed under the name Proteus mirabilis. RNAcentral's name for it is "bacterial LSU rRNA". It matches the Rfam family "Bacterial large subunit ribosomal RNA", at positions 23 to 450 of the family's 2925-position model. The record is from RNAcentral. Lineage: Bacteria; Pseudomonadati; Pseudomonadota; Gammaproteobacteria; Enterobacterales; Morganellaceae.
GGUGGAUGCCUAGGCAAUCAGAGGCGAUGAAGGACGUGCUAAUCUGCGAAAAGCGUCGGUAAGGUGAUAUGAACCGUUAUACCCGACGAUAUCCGAAUGGGGAAACCCAGUAUCCAAUGGAUACUAUCAUUAACUGAAUCCAUAGGUUAGUGAGGCGAACCGGGAGAACUGAAACAUCUCAGUACCCCGAGGAAAAGAAAUCAACCGAGAUUCCCCUAGUAGCGGCGAGCGAACGGGGAGCAGCCCAGAGUCUUAAUCAAUAACAGUGUCAGGAGAACGGUCUGGAAAGUCCGGCAGUAAAGGGUGAUAGCCCCGUAUCUGAAGAUGCUGUUGUUGUGAACUCGACGAGUAGGGCGGGACACGUGUUAUCCUGUCUGAAUAUGGGGG